RNAcentral lists this ribosomal RNA (655 nucleotides) under uncultured bacterium. RNAcentral describes it as "bacterial SSU rRNA". It matches the Rfam family "Bacterial small subunit ribosomal RNA", at positions 62 to 737 of the family's 1533-position model. The record is from RNAcentral.
UCGAACGCUUGUCGGGCUUCGGUCCGGCGAGAGUGGCGCACGGGUGAGUAGCGCGUGGGAACCUGCCCUGUUGUGGGGGAUAACCGAGGGAAACUUCGGCUAAUACCGCAUAAGCCGGCUGUCUUGCGAAAGAUGGCCGGGAAAGAUUUAUCGCGACAGGAGGGGCCCGCGUCGGAUUAGGUAGUUGGUAGGGUAACGGCCUACCAAGCCUGUGAUCCGUAGCUGGUCUGAGAGGAUGAUCAGCCACACUGGGACUGAGACACGGCCCAGACUCCUACGGGAGGCAGCAGUGGGGAAUAUUGGACAAUGGGCGCAAGCCUGAUCCAGCAAUGCCGCGUGAGUGAUGAAGGCCUUAGGGUUGUAAAGCUCUUUCGCCCGCGACGAUGAUGACGGUAGCGGGAGAAGAAGCCCCGGCUAACUUCGUGCCAGCAGCCGCGGUAAUACGAAGGGGGCGAGCGUUGUUCGGAUUUACUGGGCGUAAAGGGCGCGUAGGCGGCCCUCCUUGUCGCGUGUGAAAGCCCCGGGCUCAACCUGGGAAUUGCGCGCGAAACGGGGGGGCUUGAGUUCGGGAGAGGAGCGUGGAAUUCCCAGUGUAGAGGUGAAAUUCGUAGAUAUUGGGAAGAACACCGGUGGCGAAGGCGGCGCUCUGGACCGA